Long non-coding RNA from Astatotilapia calliptera (eastern happy), 2252 nucleotides. NCBI's taxonomy places the organism in Eukaryota, Metazoa, Chordata, Actinopteri, Cichliformes, Cichlidae. The record is from Ensembl.
GGAUGAGGAAUAAAGGACUUUUCUAUGGUUUCCUUUAGCUGUUGCUAGCUUGCCAUAUUUAUGCCUCACUAUUAGCAACUUGGAAGACAUGCGCUAUUUAGCCAAUUCUGGGUCUGCAGUGACCCCUUGUGGACAUUGUGAGAUGUUGCUUGUGUUGAGUAGAUGAUGUGUUGUGAUUGUUUUCCUAGUUAUCUAUGACUCUACUAAUGAUAAAAUUGCCCAUUUCUGUUUCCAGAAAACCAUGUUUAUAGUCACACGUGCUGUUUACUAUAAAACAAGAAGUUCAAGUUUGGCUGCACCGAAUUCAGAUUAAGCCUCACAAACAUUUUCAUGUAAACAAAUCUUUGGUGGGACUUAAUUUAAAAAAAUUAACCAAACUCCUGGACUGCUGCAGUCUCUCUCUUUUCUUUCGGAAAAGACCAAAGCAGACCCCUGGAUGGGGCUCAUCCAGCAGGGGGGCUUCUGCACAAGCUUUAGAAAAACUGCCCAAAAUGCAUUGACAGAGACAUUUCAGGGAUUUUAAGUCAUUCUGCACUCAGAUGGCUUAAUUGUUAAUCGCGUUAGUCAUGAAAAUUGUGUUAAUGGGGCUUAAAUGCGUUAACACUGACAGCCAUGAUUAUUAUAUUCUGUUUUUUGCCUGUCCUGUCCGGCAGUAUAGCUGCACAGGACAAGACGAGAAUGAGAAUUAUUAUCUGAAGGCCAAAAAAAUGCCCAAAAGAAUUAUUUUCCAAAGUGCAUCAUUACUGCUUUUGCUAUAAUGGCAGUCAUAUUUUAUUAGAAAUUUAUUAGGAUUUUUUAUUUUGAGAUAUUACUAUCAGAACAGAAAAGACCUUCCGAAGAAAGGAAAAAGAAAGAAAUUGGUGAGGAAGUUUACAGAAGGAGAGGGAGAGAAAGAAACACUGAGGAUCUGCUCCAAACCUGCUUAUAAGACACACUGAGCAGUGUGGGGAUUAGAGAAAUAUUUUGCUGCUAUUGUUAAUAACCAUCAUUACCAUUGCAUUAAUAAUUAAUAUUGAUAUUGCAUUCAGAUGUUUAAACAUAUUGGUACCCAAUUAGCCUUUAUUACAGGUGCAGUUAUAACCACUUUAAACUGUUGAGUUAAAUCUAUAAUCUUAAAUGCGUUUGAAUGCUUGUUAUAAUCUUCAAUGUGUACGUGCUGGCCUUCUGUCUGGUGGAAAGGUUACAAGGUUUAGCUGGUGAGGUGAGAGGUGAAACUGAGUGAAUGUCAGGUCGACACACACACACACACACACACACACUUACACAGCAGUUAGACUCAGGGGUCGGUGAAGGUUCAAAUGAUAUUUUGUAAAAGCUUGCAACUGCAAAAUUGUGUUUGCAAAAGAAGAGUUUGUUGCAGAAGGUGGGCCUGAUGUUCCAGAAGAUGAGCGCGGGCAGGACGUGCGACAGGAAGACUCCUGGGAUGGAGACGAGGCGAUGUUCUUUUCAAACUGUGUUAAAGGUCAUUGUGGUUUUGACUUGACGUGUGCAUGUUUUGUAUCUGAUGACGCAUGAGGGGGCGUUAACCCUGAUGAAUCAAAAGCAAUCUGAAGUGUCUUUUUGGGCGGAGAUCUACAGCUGAUGUUUUGCAGUGUACAUCUCCCCACGCUGCGUGUGUUCAUUAAAAUCAUCGUUUGACUCCACCCGGCCGGAUCAGUGUUGUUGUUUUGGAAUUCCUCCUGUAUCCCUCCUCAAUAUUUGAACCCUUAACAGCAGCACACAGGACUACAUGAUAUGUUUAGAGGCAGCAGCCAACCAAGAUAGUGUGUCUGUAACGAGAAACUGUUGACUGGGCAGCUGUCAUCUCCUCUGGAAAGAUUAGAAGCUCCUUCACUGUUUUUACAGUUGGGUUUUUUUCUGCGAUGAAAUGAUGCAGUCCUUCUGGUGGGAGUAAACCAGCUACAGAACCCACAACGGGACGCCAGCACUUGAUUACAGACAUUGGGGCCUGAAUAAGUACUUUGUGUCCUAUCUGUGCCAAAACAGGGAGCAGUGUGUCCUUAGUAGGAACCUGCUUGCACUCAUGUGCAUCAAGUACUUCCAGCAAUUCAUCUGUAUCCACUGAAUUGAAGUCAUCCAAAGCCUUCAGGAGAACAGAUCGCUCUUCUUGUGAGACGUCCAAAAGAAAGGAAUCUUUUAAACUACUGGUUGUCGAGCCGCACAAUAUCUCCUCCAGAAAGGGUAUUGCAAGCUUCACUGGGAAGUAACCAGCUUGUUUCCACCCUACAACAAACACUCUAGCUAUAGCCUGC